RNAcentral lists this ribosomal RNA (608 nucleotides) under uncultured beta proteobacterium. Its description in RNAcentral is "bacterial SSU rRNA". It matches the Rfam family "Bacterial small subunit ribosomal RNA", at positions 85 to 689 of the family's 1533-position model. The record is from RNAcentral. Lineage: Bacteria; Pseudomonadati; Pseudomonadota; Betaproteobacteria.
GUGCUGACGAGUGGCGAACGGGUGAGUAAUGCAUCGGAACGUGCCCAGUCGUGGGGGAUAACUGCUCGAAAGAGCAGCUAAUACCGCAUACGACCUGAGGGUGAAAGCGGGGGACCGUAAGGCCUCGCGCGAUUGGAGCGGCCGAUGUCAGAUUAGCUAGUUGGUGGGGUAAAGGCCUACCAAGGCAACGAUCUGUAGUUGGUCUGAGAGGACGACCAGCCACACUGGGACUGAGACACGGCCCAGACUCCUACGGGAGGCAGCAGUGGGGAAUUUUGGACAAUGGGCGCAAGCCUGAUCCAGCAAUGCCGCGUGCAGGAAGAAGGCCUUCGGGUUGUAAACUGCUUUUGUCAGGGAAGAAAUCUUCUGGGCUAAUACCCCGGGAGGAUGACGGUACCUGAAGAAUAAGCACCGGCUAACUACGUGCCAGCAGCCGCGGUAAUACGUAGGGUGCGAGCGUUAAUCGGAAUUACUGGGCGUAAAGCGUGCGCAGGCGGUUAUGUAAGACAGAUGUGAAAUCCCCGGGCUCAACCUGGGAACUGCAUUUGUGACUGCAUGACUGGAGUGCGGCAGAGGGGGAUGGAAUUCCGCGUGUAGCAGUGAAAUGC